RNAcentral lists this transfer RNA (74 nucleotides) under Candidatus Woesearchaeota archaeon. Its description in RNAcentral is "tRNA-Ala". It matches the Rfam family "tRNA". From Rfam's summary of the family: Transfer RNA (tRNA) molecules are approximately 80 nucleotides in length. Their secondary structure includes four short double-helical elements and three loops (D, anti-codon, and T loops). Lineage: Archaea; Nanobdellati; Candidatus Woesearchaeota. The record is from RNAcentral.
GGGCUGAUGGUGAAAUCUGGUAUCACGUGCCGCUGGCCGCGGCGAGUUCCCGGGUUCAAAUCCCGGUCAGUCCA